AAAUUUUAUUCCACAAGAAAAAGAUUUGUUAGUUUCUUUGGUUGAAAAGCAUUCUUCAGUUGUGGAAUCCAAAGAAACUAACGCCAUUACAUGGGUCAAAGAAAAAAAAUCAAAUGUGGGAUGUAAUAGCAGAAGAAUUUGGAAAACAGUGCCAAACACACAGGACCGAAAAAAAAUUUAAAAGAUAAGUACGAAAAUAUAAAAAAAAGAAACCAAAAUUGCCUUAGCAGCAGAAAAAAGAAAAACCUAUAUGACUGGAGGAGGCUCAUCUGCAACGGGAUUAAGUAAUAAUGUCGAUUCAGAUAAAGAAAUUGCCAACAUCAAAUCAAAUUAUAGAUCAAGUAGAAAUUGAUUUCGUUUCAUUAGUAGAAGAUGAUUGCGAAGAAGGGCUUAAGGAGAGCAAACUUGAAAAGACAAAUCAUUAAAUUUUAUUCCACAAGAAAAGAUUUGUUAGUUUCUUUGGUUGAAAAGCAUUCUUCAGUUGUGGAAUCCAAAGAAACUAACGCCAUUACAUGGGUCAAAGAAAAAAAAAUCAAAUGUGGG
Molecule: long non-coding RNA, 543 nt
Organism: Lucilia sericata (common green bottle fly)
Lineage: Eukaryota; Metazoa; Arthropoda; Insecta; Diptera; Calliphoridae
Exons: 3
Source: RefSeq, a predicted model, not a curated record